UAGUCCAUGCCCUAAACGAUGAAUGUUAGUCGUCGGUAUGCUCGUCAUAUCGGUGAUGCACUUAACAGAUUAAACAUUCCGCCUGGGGAGUACGGUCGCAAGAUUAAAACUCAAAGGAAUAGACGGGGACCCGCACAAGUGGUGGAGCAUGUGGUUUAAUUCGAAGAUACGCGAAGAACCUUACCUAGCCUUGACAUUGAUUGAAUUCUUUAGAGAUAGAGAAGUGCCCUUUUGGGAACAUGAAAACAGGUGCUGCACGGCUGUCGUCAGCUCGUGUCGUGAGAUGUUGGGUUAAGUCCCGCAACGAGCGCAACCCUCGUCACUAGUUACUAACGGUUUGGCCGAGGACUCUAGUGAGACUGCCUUCGCAAGGAGGAGGAAGGUGAGGACGACGUCAAGUCAUCAUGGCCCUUACGGCUAGGGCUACACACGUGCUACAAUGUUAGGACAAUGAGAAGCAAUACUGCGAAGUGGANCAAAUCUAUAAACCUAUCUCUACGG
Molecule: ribosomal RNA, 501 nt
Filed under: uncultured bacterium
Lineage: Bacteria
Description: bacterial SSU rRNA
Rfam family: Bacterial small subunit ribosomal RNA
Source: RNAcentral